CCUACGGGCGGCAGCAGUGAGGAAUAUUGGUCAAUGGACGAGAGUCUGAACCAGCCAAGUAGCGUGAAGGAUGACUGCCCUACGGGUUGUAAACUUCUUUUAUAAAGGAAUAAAACGAGGCACGUGUGCCUUUUUGCAUGUACUUUAUGAAUAAGGAUCGGCUAACUCCGUGCCAGCAGCCGCGGUAAUACGGAGGAUCCGAGCGUUAUCCGGAUUUAUUGGGUUUAAAGGGAGCGUAGAUGGGUUGUUAAGUCAGUUGUGAAAGUUUGCGGCUCAACCGUAAAAUUGCAAUUGAUACUGGCAGUCGUGAGUACAGUUGAGGUAGGCGGAAUUCGUGGUGUAGCGGUGAAAUGCUUAGAUAUCACGAAGAACCCCGAUUGCGAAGGCAGCUUACUAAACUGUGACUGACAUUGAUGCUCGAAAGUGUGGGUAUCAAACAGGAUUAGAUACCCCUGUAGUC
RNAcentral lists this ribosomal RNA (460 nucleotides) under uncultured bacterium. RNAcentral's name for it is "partial 16S ribosomal RNA". It matches the Rfam family "Bacterial small subunit ribosomal RNA", at positions 338 to 795 of the family's 1533-position model. The record is from RNAcentral.